GAGUUUGAUCAUGGCUCAGAUUGAACGCUGGCGGCAUGCCUUACACAUGCAAGUCGAACGGCAGCACGGGUGCUUGCACCUGGUGGCGAGUGGCGAACGGGUGAGUAAUACAUCGGAACAUGUCCUGUAGUGGGGGAUAGCCCGGCGAAAGCCGGAUUAAUACCGCAUACGAUCUACGGAUGAAAGCGGGGGACCUUCGGGCCUCGCGCUAUAGGGUUGGCCGAUGGCUGAUUAGCUAGUUGGUGGGGUAAAGGCCUACCAAGGCGACGAUCAGUAGCUGGUCUGAGAGGACGACCAGCCACACUGGGACUGAGACACGGCCCAGACUCCUACGGGAGGCAGCAGUGGGGAAUUUUGGACAAUGGGCGAAAGCCUGAUCCAGCAAUGCCGCGUGUGUGAAGAAGGCCUUCGGGUUGUAAAGCACUUUUGUCCGGAAAGAAAUCCUUGGCUCUAAUACAGUCGGGGGAUGACGGUACCGGAAGAAUAAGCACCGGCUAACUACGUGCCAGCAGCCGCGGUAAUACGUAGGGUGCGAGCGUUAAUCGGAAUUACUGGGCGUAAAGCGUGCGCAGGCGGUUUGCUAAGACCGAUGUGAAAUCCCCGGGCUCAACCUGGGAACUGCAUUGGUGACUGGCAGGCUAGAGUAUGGCAGAGGGGGGUAGAAUUCCACGUGUAGCAGUGAAAUGCGUAGAGAUGUGGAGGAAUACCGAUGGCGAAGGCAGCCCCCUGGGCCAAUACUGACGCUCAUGCACGAAAGCGUGGGGAGCAAACAGGAUUAGAUACCCUGGUAGUCCACGCCCUAAACGAUGUCAACUAGUUGUUGGGGAUUCAUUUCCUUAGUAACGUAGCUAACGCGUGAAGUUGACCGCCUGGGGAGUACGGUCGCAAGAUUAAAACUCAAAGGAAUUGACGGGGACCCGCACAAGCGGUGGAUGAUGUGGAUUAAUUCGAUGCAACGCGAAAAACCUUACCUACCCUUGACAUGGUCGGAAUCCCGCUGAGAGGUGGGAGUGCUCGAAAGAGAACCGGCGCACAGGUGCUGCAUGGCUGUCGUCAGCUCGUGUCGUGAGAUGUUGGGUUAAGUCCCGCAACGAGCGCAACCCUUGUCCUUAGUUGCUACGCAAGAGCACUCUAAGGAGACUGCCGGUGACAAACCGGAGGAAGGUGGGGAUGACGUCAAGUCCUCAUGGCCCUUAUGGGUAGGGCUUCACACGUCAUACAAUGGUCGGAACAGAGGGUUGCCAACCCGCGAGGGGGAGCUAAUCCCAGAAAACCGAUCGUAGUCCGGAUUGCACUCUGCAACUCGAGUGCAUGAAGCUGGAAUCGCUAGUAAUCGCGGAUCAGCAUGCCGCGGUGAAUACGU
RNAcentral lists this ribosomal RNA (1363 nucleotides) under unidentified marine bacterioplankton. Its description in RNAcentral is "bacterial SSU rRNA". It matches the Rfam family "Bacterial small subunit ribosomal RNA", at positions 9 to 1371 of the family's 1533-position model. The record is from RNAcentral.